UACGAAGGGGGCUAGCGUUGCUCAGAAUUACUGGGCGUAAAGGGCGCGUAGGCGGAUGACUAAGUCGGGGGUGAAAGCCCGGGGCUCAACCUCGGAACUGCCUUCGAUACUGGUCAUCUUGAGUACGGGAGAGGUGUGUGGAACUCCGAGUGUAGAGGUGAAAUUCGUAGAUAUUCGGAAGAACACCAGUGGCGAAGGCGACACACUGGCCCGUUACUGACGCUGAGGCGCGAAAGCGUGGGGAGCAAACAGG
Molecule: ribosomal RNA, 253 nt
Filed under: uncultured bacterium
Lineage: Bacteria
Description: partial 16S ribosomal RNA
Rfam family: Bacterial small subunit ribosomal RNA
Source: RNAcentral